UACGUAGGCGGACUAAUAAGUCAGUGGUGAAAUCUCUCGGCUCAACCGGGAAACUGCCAUUGAUACUGUUAGUCUUGAGUUCGGUUGAGGUAGGCGGAAUGUGUAAUGUAGCGGUGAAAUGCUUAGAUAUUACACAGAACACCAAUUGCGUAGGCAGCUUACUAGACCGACACUGACGCUGAGGCACGAAAGCGUGGGGAGCGAACAGGAUUAGAUACCCUGGUAGUC
RNAcentral lists this ribosomal RNA (228 nucleotides) under uncultured bacterium. RNAcentral describes it as "partial 16S ribosomal RNA". It matches the Rfam family "Bacterial small subunit ribosomal RNA", at positions 568 to 795 of the family's 1533-position model. The record is from RNAcentral.